Molecule: ribosomal RNA, 243 nt
Filed under: Ixodes sculptus
Lineage: Eukaryota; Metazoa; Arthropoda; Arachnida; Ixodida; Ixodidae
Description: partial 16S ribosomal RNA
Source: RNAcentral
CUGCUCAAUGAUUUUUUAAAUUGCUGUGGUAUUUUGACUAUACGAAGGUAUUGAAAUAAGGCUUUAAAUGAGUGCUAAGAGAAUGGUUUUACAAUUAAAAGCUUUCUUUAAUUAAUAAAUUGAAUUUAAUUUUUUUGUGAAGAAGCGAAAAUAAUAAUUAGGGACAAGAAGACCCUAUGAAUUUUAAUUAAAUUAUAUUUGGGGGUGCCUUAGAAUUUAAUUUGGUUGGGGAGAUUAAAAAAG